CAUUGCCUUUUGCUUCUCAUCAGUACGUCGUCGUAUUUUACACUUCUCCUUGAUGAUUGUUCAUCUUCCAUUGACGCGGUGAUAUCUAUUUCAAUUGCAAACUUAAUACCCUCUUCUUUUAAAUUUUCAAAGAUAAGUGGGGAUUUUCCGGAAAUUGUAUUUUCUAUAAAUGGAAAUUUUCUUUUAAACUUUACAUGACUGCUGGUUCUGUGAUCAAAAUGUUAUAAGCUAAAUUGUUAACUUAGAGCUUUUCAAUUCUUCUAGGGUAUGUAAAAUACCAGGAUCAGUUCUUAGCUGUAUCUUAGAGUGAAUAACAGUAGUAGUAUUGUUAUCUUGAACCCAAGGAUUCAAGUUUCAAAUACAUGUUCAGGAGCUACUAAGACUAAGAACACUCUGCAAGUUUCAAGAGGAUUAUAUAUUUUGAUUAUGUUUAUGUGAAUUUAUGUUUUUAUUCUUUUAUACCAUGAUGGAUAUGCUCACAAGUGUUCUAUUAAUGAAUAAUUUGAAUUUUCAGCAUAUAUCUAUUAAUGAAUAAUUUGAAUUUUCA
This 547-nucleotide unclassified non-coding RNA is filed under the name Hevea brasiliensis (rubber tree). Lineage: Eukaryota; Viridiplantae; Streptophyta; Magnoliopsida; Malpighiales; Euphorbiaceae. The record is from RNAcentral.